GAAUAUUGGACAAUGGGGGGAACCCUGAUCCAGCCAUGCCGCGUGUGUGAAGAAGGCCUUUUGGUUGUAAAGCACUUUAAGCGAGGAGGAGGAGCUCUUGGUUAAUACCCAAGAUGCUUGGACGUUACUCGCAGAAUAAGCACCGGCUAACUCUGUGCCAGCAGCCGCGGUAAUACAGAGGGUGCAAGCGUUAAACGGGUUUACGGGGCGUAAGGGGCGCGAAGUUGGCAAAUAAAGUCAAAGGGGAAACCCCGGGGCUUAACUGGGGAAUUGCAUUGGAUAUGGGUGGGUAAGGGUAGGGGAGGGGAGGGUAGAAUCCCGGUGGUGGGGGGGAAAGGCGAGAGGACCGGAGGAAUAACGGAUGGGGAGGGCGGCAACUUGGCCAAAUACGGACACUGAGGUGGAAAGCAAGGGGAGCAAACA
Molecule: ribosomal RNA, 423 nt
Filed under: uncultured bacterium
Lineage: Bacteria
Description: partial 16S ribosomal RNA
Rfam family: Bacterial small subunit ribosomal RNA
Source: RNAcentral